Molecule: transfer RNA, 77 nt
Filed under: Alphaproteobacteria bacterium
Lineage: Bacteria; Pseudomonadati; Pseudomonadota; Alphaproteobacteria
Also listed under: 1 other name
Description: tRNA-Arg
Rfam family: tRNA
About the family: Transfer RNA (tRNA) molecules are approximately 80 nucleotides in length.
Source: RNAcentral
GCACUCGUAGCUCAGCUGGAUAGAGCGCUGCCCUCCGAAGGCAGAGGCCACAGGUUCGAAUCCUGUCGAGUGCACCA